AGAACGAACGCUGGCGGCAGGCCUCAAACAUGCAAGUCUAAGGGGAUAGCAAUAUCACCGGCGGACGGGUGCGUAACGCGUGGGAAUGUACCUAUUGGUUCGGAACAACACAGGGAAACUUGUGCUAAUACCGAAUGUGCCCGUAAGGGGAAAGAUUUAUCGCCAAUAGAUCAGCCCGCGUUCGAUUAGCUUGUUGGUGAGGUAAUGGCUCACCAAGGCGACGAUCGAUAGCUGUUCUGAGAGGAAGAUCAGCCACACUGGGACUGAGACACGGCCCCAGACUCCUACGGGAGGCAGCAGUUGGGAAUCUUGGACAAUGGGGGAAACCCUGGAUCCAGCCAUGCCGCGUGAGUGAUGAAGGCCUUCGGGUUGUAAACUCUUUCGCGCACGACGAUAAUGACGGUAGUGCGAGAAGAAGCUCCGGCUAACUUCGCGCCAGCAGCCG
RNAcentral lists this ribosomal RNA (445 nucleotides) under uncultured bacterium. Its description in RNAcentral is "SSU rRNA". It matches the Rfam family "Bacterial small subunit ribosomal RNA", at positions 26 to 517 of the family's 1533-position model. The record is from RNAcentral.